This 250-nucleotide ribosomal RNA is filed under the name uncultured bacterium. Its description in RNAcentral is "partial 16S ribosomal RNA". It matches the Rfam family "Bacterial small subunit ribosomal RNA", at positions 524 to 773 of the family's 1533-position model. The record is from RNAcentral.
GACGUAGGGAGCGAGCGUUGUCCGGAUUCAUUGGGCGUAAAGCGCGCGUAGGCGGCUUCGCAAGUCGGGUGUGAAAAUCCGGGGCUCAACCCCGGACCUGCAUCCGAAACUGCGUAGCUAGAGGUAGGUAGGGGAGAUCGGAAUUCCUGGUGUAGCGGUGAAAUGCGCAGAUAUCAGGAGGAACACCGGUGGCGAAGGCGGAUCUCUGGGCCUUACCUGACGCUGAGGUGCGAAAGCUAGGGGAGCGAAC